CUUGACAUUUUUCUGCCAACCUAAGAGAUUAGGUGUUCCCUUCGGGGACAGAAUGACAGGUGGUGCAUGGUGGGUGGUCAGCUCGCCCCCCCGAGAUGUUGGGUUAAGUCCCGCAACGAGCGCAACCCUUAUUACUAGUUGCCAGCAUUCAGUUGGGCACUCUAGUGAGACUGCCGGUGACAAACCGGAGGAAGGUGGGGACGACGUCAAAUCAUCAUGCCCCUUAUGACCUGGGCUACACACGUGCUACAAUGGAUGGUACAACGAGUCGCGAAACCGCGAGGUUUAGCUAAUCUCUUAAAACCAUUCUCAGUUCGGACUGUAGGCUGCAACUCGCCUACACGAAGUCGGAAUCGCUAGUAAUCGCGGAUCAGCAUGCCGCGGUGAAUACGUUCCCGGGCCUUGUACACACCGCCCGUCACACCAUGAGAGUUUGUAACACCCAAAGCCGGUGGGGUAACCUUUUAGGAGCUAGCCGUCUAAGGUGGGACAGAUGAUUAGGGUGAAGUCGAACAAGUGGUACG
Molecule: ribosomal RNA, 524 nt
Filed under: Pediococcus acidilactici
Lineage: Bacteria; Bacillati; Bacillota; Bacilli; Lactobacillales; Lactobacillaceae
Description: bacterial SSU rRNA
Rfam family: Bacterial small subunit ribosomal RNA
Source: RNAcentral